Molecule: ribosomal RNA, 479 nt
Filed under: uncultured bacterium
Lineage: Bacteria
Description: bacterial SSU rRNA
Rfam family: Bacterial small subunit ribosomal RNA
Source: RNAcentral
GGCGGCGUGCUUAACACAUGCAAGUCGAACGGACUUACUGAAAAGAGGGCUUGCCCGAUGGAAGUAAAGUCAGUGGCGGACGGGUGAGUAACGCGUGGGUAACCUGCCUUACACAGGGGGACAACAGUUGGAAACGACUGCUAAUACCGCAUAAGCCGGUAAUGCCGCAUGGCAUCUUCGGAAAAAGAUUUUAUCGGUGUAAGAUGGGCCCGCGUUGGAUUAGUUAGUUGGCGGGUAACGGCCCACCAAGACGACGAUCCAUAGCCGACCUGAGAGGGUGAUCGGCCACAUUGGGACUGAGACACGGCCCAAACUCCUACGGGAGGCAGCAGUGGGGAAUAUUGCGCAAUGGGGGAAACCCUGACGCAGCAACGCCCGCGUGAGUGAAGAAGUAUUUCGGUAUGUAAAGCUCUAUCAGCAGGGAAGAAGAUGACGGUACCUGCAGAAGAAGUCCCGGCUAACUACGUGCCAGCAGCUGC